This 552-nucleotide ribosomal RNA is filed under the name uncultured bacterium. Its description in RNAcentral is "bacterial SSU rRNA". It matches the Rfam family "Bacterial small subunit ribosomal RNA", at positions 355 to 896 of the family's 1533-position model. The record is from RNAcentral.
UGGGGAAUCUUCCGCAAUGGACGAAAGUCUGACCGAGCAACGCCGCGUGAGUGAUGACGGCCUUCGGAUUGUAAAGCUCUGUUGAUCGAGACGAAAGGCCGUCUUGCGAAUAGUUAGAAGGAUUGACGGUACCGGAAUAGAAGCCACGGCUAACUACGUGCCAGCAGCCGCGGUAAUACGUAGGUCCCGAGCGUUGUCCGGAUUUAUUGGGCGUAAAAGCGCGCGCAGGCGGAUUGGUCAGUCCUGUCUUAAAGGCUCGUGGGCUUAACCCCGUGAUGUUUGGAAAACUGCCAAUCUAGAGUAUCGAAGAGAAAAGUGGAAUUCCUGUGUAGCGGUGAAAAUGCGUAGAUAUUAGGAAGAACACCGGUGGCGAAGGCGACUUUCUGGACUGUAACUGACGCUGAGGCUCGAAAGCCAGGGGAGCGAACGGGAUUAGAUACCCCGGUAGUCCUGGCCGUAAACGAUGAGUGCUAGGUGUAGGAGGCUUCCACGCCUUCUGUGCCGGAGUUAACGCAAUAAGUACUCCGCCUGGGGAGUACGACCGCAAGGUUG